CCAGAGAUUAGCUUGCUUUAUUUGUCAGCUAAGUGGCGCACGGGUGAGUAAUGUAUAGGUAAUAUGCCUCUUACUAAGGGAUAACAAAUGGAAACGUUUGCUAAUACCUUAUACUCCUUAUUAACAGAAGUUAAUAAGGGAAAGAUUUAUUGGUAAGAGAUUAGCCUGUAUUGUAUCAGUUAGUUGGUGGGGUAAUGGCUUACCAAGACUAUGACACAUAACUGGUUUGAGAGGAUGAUCAGUCACACUGGAACUGAGACACGGUCCAGACUCCUACGGGAGGCAGCAGUGGGGAAUAUUGCACAAUGGACGGAAGUCUGAUGCAGCAACGCCGCGUGGAGGAUGACACAUUUCGGUGCGUAAACUCCUUUUAUAUGAGAAGAUAAUGACGGUAUUAUAUGAAUAAGCACCGGCUAACUCCGUGCCAGCAGCCGCGGUAAUACGGGGGGUGCAAGCGUUACUCGGAAUCACUGGGCGUAAAGAGCAUGUAGGCGGAUUAAUAAGUUUGAAGUGAAAUCCUAUAGCUUAACUAUAGAACUGCUUUGAAAACUGUUAAUCUAGAAUGUGGGAGAGGUAGAUGGA
Molecule: ribosomal RNA, 582 nt
Filed under: uncultured Arcobacter sp.
Lineage: Bacteria; Pseudomonadati; Campylobacterota; Epsilonproteobacteria; Campylobacterales; Arcobacteraceae
Description: bacterial SSU rRNA
Rfam family: Bacterial small subunit ribosomal RNA
Source: RNAcentral